This 273-nucleotide ribosomal RNA is filed under the name uncultured bacterium. Its description in RNAcentral is "partial 16S ribosomal RNA". It matches the Rfam family "Bacterial small subunit ribosomal RNA", at positions 524 to 796 of the family's 1533-position model. The record is from RNAcentral.
UACGUAGGGGGCAAGCGUUGUCCGGAAUCAUUGGGCGUAAAGCGCACGUAGGCGGCCCGAUCAGUCCGUUGUGAAAGUCAAAGGCUCAACCUUUGAAUGCCGAUGGAUACUGUCGGGCUAGAAUUCGGAAGAGGCGAGUGGAAUUCCUGGUGUAGCGGUGGAAUGCGCAGAUAUCAGGAGGAACACCUAUAGCGAAGGCAGCUCGCUGGGACGAUAUUGACGCUAAGGUGCGAAAGCGUGGGGAGCGAACAGGAUUAGAAACCCCCGUAGUCC